This is a non-coding RNA of Camellia sinensis, 588 nucleotides long. The record is from RefSeq and is a predicted model, not a curated record. NCBI's taxonomy places the organism in Eukaryota, Viridiplantae, Streptophyta, Magnoliopsida, Ericales, Theaceae.
CCUGUUUCACACAUUUUUUGAAUCUAUUUUGUCUUACAAACACAGACCACUCACCACAAACCAGAGGCCCUCUCACCACCGAUUGUCACUACCACCGUCCGUCCCCACCGUCGCACGUCGCCACCACCACCGCCGACACCAAAAUCACCACCAACACUGCCGCAAAUCACAGUGGUUUGGUAUGGUUGGAAGAAUUGGGCAUUUGAUUGAAUUGAUUACCCAAAUUUGGAGUAGAACUGGGUAAGCAGGUCAGAAGUGCUGUUAGGAUUAAGAACACUAGCAGGUCUGAUGUUGCUUUCAAGUGUUCAAGUUCAUGGAGCAUCCAGAAAAAAAUGAGAAACAAAUAGAUUAGAGCAGCAAGGUCAAGUUUAAAAUCAUGAGUUUGAAAGUGAAAAAAGGGAUGGAUUAUAUGUAUCUGAAUUGGUGAGUCAUAUGGCCCCUACAGUAUUUUACCUCUAUCUAUUGAACUUGGAUGAUUGAUAUCUAUCUUACCUCAAUUUAUUUUAUUUGGGGUAAGUAGUUUUUUUUCUUCAACUAUAUUGCUUUUCUAUAUUGAAUGUGAGAUAAUCAAGCUUUGGCUUUGUUCAA